This 69-nucleotide transfer RNA is filed under the name Craugastor rhodopis (polymorphic robber frog). Its description in RNAcentral is "tRNA-Ala". The record is from RNAcentral. Lineage: Eukaryota; Metazoa; Chordata; Amphibia; Anura; Craugastoridae.
UAAGACCUGCGAGACAUUAUCCCACAUCUUCUGAAUGCAACUCAAAUUCUUUGAUUAAGAUAAAGCCUU